UGGGGAAUAUUGCACAAUGGGCGCAAGCCUGAUGCAGCGACGCCGCGUGGGGGAUGACGGCCUUCGGGUUGUAAACUCCUUUCGCUUGGGACGAAGCUUUUUGUGACGGUACCUAGAUAAGAAGCACCGGCUAACUACGUGCCAGCAGCCGCGGUAAUACGUAGGGUGCGAGCGUUGUCCGGAAUUACUGGGCGUAAGGGGCUCGUAGGUGGUUUGUAGGGUCGUCUGUGAAAUUCCGGGGCUUAACUCAGGACGUGCAGGCGAUACGGGCAUAACUUGAGUACUGUAGGGGUAACUGAAAUUCCUGGUGUAGCAGUGAAAUGCGCAGAUAUCAGGAGGAACACCGAUGGCGAAGGCAGGUUACUGGGCAGUUACUGACGCUGAGGAGCGAAAGCAUGGGUAGCGAACAGG
Molecule: ribosomal RNA, 411 nt
Filed under: Actinomycetes bacterium
Lineage: Bacteria; Bacillati; Actinomycetota; Actinomycetes
Description: Actinobacteria bacterium partial 16S ribosomal RNA
Rfam family: Bacterial small subunit ribosomal RNA
Source: RNAcentral